ACAAAGGUAUCCAUAUUCAAGGUUUGUGAGACCAGCACCCCAUAACCAGUCAUAUGCAUCACCAGAGAGCAUACCUCACGAUGAGAUAAAUAAUAAA
Molecule: long non-coding RNA, 97 nt
Organism: Neltuma alba
Lineage: Eukaryota; Viridiplantae; Streptophyta; Magnoliopsida; Fabales; Fabaceae
Exons: 4
Source: RefSeq, a predicted model, not a curated record